UCCUUCUACAGCUCUGAUAAAGCGUUAUGGACAAAGAGAACCAGAAUCAAGGCAAUGAUGUAGCAGACACAGAUAAAUGGACCUCUAACUGCAUUGAAACAGAAGAAUGGAUGACUUUCCGAAGCUGACUGAAGGAAAAGGGCUUUCCAGACCUCCUCCAACUUCCCGCACUGGACAAGC
This is a long non-coding RNA of Mus musculus (house mouse), 180 nucleotides long. RefSeq annotates it as predicted gene, 51758. The transcript has 3 exons. The record is from RefSeq and is a predicted model, not a curated record. NCBI's taxonomy places the organism in Eukaryota, Metazoa, Chordata, Mammalia, Rodentia, Muridae.